This 279-nucleotide ribosomal RNA is filed under the name uncultured methanogenic archaeon. RNAcentral describes it as "partial 16S ribosomal RNA". It matches the Rfam family "Archaeal small subunit ribosomal RNA", at positions 1047 to 1325 of the family's 1478-position model. Lineage: Archaea; Methanobacteriati; Methanobacteriota. The record is from RNAcentral.
GAGACCCGUGCCCACUGUUACCAGCAUGUCCUCCGGGACGAUGGGUACUCUGUGGGGACCGCCGAUGUUAAAUCGGAGGAAGGUGCGGGCCACGGUAGGUCAGUAUGCCCCGAAUCUCCCGGGCUACACGCGGGCUACAAUGGAUGGGACAAUGGGUCCCUCCCCCGAAAGGGGCUGGUAAUCUCACAAACCCAUUCGUAGUUCGGAUCGAGGGCUGUAACUCGCCCUCGUGAAGCUGGAAUCCGUAGUAAUCGCGUUUCAAUAUAGCGCGGUGAAUAC